RNAcentral lists this unclassified non-coding RNA (241 nucleotides) under uncultured fungus. RNAcentral's name for it is "sequence contains ITS1, 5.8S rRNA gene". The stretch from base 193 to 241 matches the Rfam family "5.8S ribosomal RNA", at positions 1 to 49 of the family's 154-position model. The record is from RNAcentral. Lineage: Eukaryota; Fungi.
UUUCCGUAGGUGAACCUGCGGAAGGAUCACUAAAGAGAACUGCCUUCGGGCUAAUCUCCCACCCUUUGUUUACAUUACCUUUGUUGCUUUGGCAGGCCCGUCCUCGGACCGCUGGCUUCGGCUAGUCCGUGCCUGCCAGAGGAAAUUCAACUCUGAAUUUAAGUGUUGUCUGAGUAAAAACAUAAUAUUUAAAACUUUCAACAACGGAUCUCUUGGCUCUGGCAUCGAUGAAGAACGCAGC